This 1010-nucleotide ribosomal RNA is filed under the name Microbacterium ginsengiterrae. Its description in RNAcentral is "bacterial SSU rRNA". It matches the Rfam family "Bacterial small subunit ribosomal RNA", at positions 30 to 1047 of the family's 1533-position model. The record is from RNAcentral. Lineage: Bacteria; Bacillati; Actinomycetota; Actinomycetes; Micrococcales; Microbacteriaceae.
AAAAGGAAUGGCGACAGCUUACCAUGCAAGUCGAACGAUGAACCCGAAGCUUGCUUUGGGGGAUUAGUGGCGAACGGGUGAGUAACACGUGAGCAACCUGCCCCUGACUCUGGGAUAAGCGCUGGAAACGGCGUCUAAUACUGGAUACGAACAAGAAUCGCAUGGUUACUUGUUGGAAAGAUUUUUUGGUUGGGGAUGGGCUCGCGGCCUAUCAGCUUGUUGGUGAGGUAAUGGCUCACCAAGGCGUCGACGGGUAGCCGGCCUGAGAGGGUGACCGGCCACACUGGGACUGAGACACGGCCCAGACUCCUACGGGAGGCAGCAGUGGGGAAUAUUGCACAAUGGGCGGAAGCCUGAUGCAGCAACGCCGCGUGAGGGAUGACGGCCUUCGGGUUGUAAACCUCUUUUAGCAGGGAAGAAGCGAAAGUGACGGUACUUGCAGAAAAAGCGCCGGCUAACUACGUGCCAGCAGCCGCGGUAAUACGUAGGGCGCAAGCGUUAUCCGGAAUUAUUGGGCGUAAAGAGCUCGUAGGCGGUUUGUCGCGUCUGCUGUGAAAUCCCGAGGCUCAACUUCGGGUCUGCAGUGGGUACGGGCAGACUAGAGUGCGGUAGGGGAGAUUGGAAUUCCUGGUGUAGCGGUGGAAUGCGCAGAUAUCAGGAGGAACACCGAUGGCGAAGGCAGAUCUCUGGGCCGUAACUGACGCUGAGGAGCGAAAGGGUGGGGAGCAAACAGGCUUAGAUACCCUGGUAGUCCACCCCGUAAACGUUGGGAACUAGUUGUGGGGUCCAUUCCACGGAUUCCGUGACGCAGCUAACGCAUUAAGUUCCCCGCCUGGGGAGUACGGCCGCAGGCUAAAACUCAAAGGAUUUGACGGGGACCCGCACAAGCGGCGGAGCAUGCGGAUUAAUUCGAUGCAACGCGAAGAACCUUACCAAGGCUUGACAUACGCGAGAACGGGCCAGAAUUGCUCCAUCUCUUUGUAACACCUCGUGAACACGGUUGCUGCAUU